GUCUCUGGUUAUACUACCCUGAACAUGCCCAAUCUCAUCUGAUCUUGGAAGCUAAACAGGGUUGGGCCUGGUUAGCACUUGGAUAAAGAGAACUUUUUGAGCAAAAACU
Molecule: ribosomal RNA, 109 nt
Filed under: Heterocephalus glaber (naked mole-rat)
Lineage: Eukaryota; Metazoa; Chordata; Mammalia; Rodentia; Bathyergidae
Source: RNAcentral